GGCCCUUUUUCGACUGCGGGUUUACUCGAGUCUCCCGCCUGCCGCUCUCUCGCAGUCUUCUCAUCCUUCAUUUUGAAGGCUUCUUCCACUCGGGCGUACCCUUCAGCCCGAGCCAACAGAUCAGCAAAAUCCCUGGGGUACUUCUUCUCCAGGGAGAACAAAAGGUCAUUCUUCUGAAGGCCACCCUUCAGAGCGGCCAUUGCUACCG
Molecule: long non-coding RNA, 208 nt
Filed under: Elaeis guineensis (African oil palm)
Lineage: Eukaryota; Viridiplantae; Streptophyta; Magnoliopsida; Arecales; Arecaceae
Description: long non-coding RNA (EGUI_LNC057554)
Source: RNAcentral